RNAcentral lists this long non-coding RNA (490 nucleotides) under Heterocephalus glaber (naked mole-rat). RNAcentral describes it as "lncRNA (ENSHGLG00100046873.1)". The record is from RNAcentral. Lineage: Eukaryota; Metazoa; Chordata; Mammalia; Rodentia; Bathyergidae.
CGCGAAGCGUGAAGCCCACGGAGGUGGGUGGUGAGGGGCAGGGCUGAGGGGAGCCCUAGAGGCAGAGAAGAUGCAGGCCAUCAUGCCCAUUUCACAGACAGAGAAGCCGACAUCCUGAACAGGUGGAUCAGCCUAGAAAAGGAAGCACAACCUUGUGUGACAUUACCAUGGAAGUUUCACUUAGUACGUAUGUGUUUAAUGAAUAUAAUGAAGGAGCAGUUUUAUUCCUAGUGUCAGGUAUGUAAUCACACACCUAUAUGUUUAUUCAUUCUUUUGUUAAAAUCACUAAAUUUUAACAUUCAUCAGAGAAGUUUUCAGUUUUCUAUUGCUGUAUGCCAAAAAGCCUAAAAUAUAGUGGCUUAAAACCAAUAAUUUAUUAUUUCUCAUGAGUUUGUGAGCUAGGAAAUUGGGCAUAGCUCAGCAAGGGUGGUUCUUCUGGUCCACGUGGUGUCACAAAAGUCUCUCAAGCUCAUUAUGCUGGAAGUUGCGG